RNAcentral lists this ribosomal RNA (433 nucleotides) under uncultured bacterium. RNAcentral describes it as "partial 16S ribosomal RNA". It matches the Rfam family "Bacterial small subunit ribosomal RNA", at positions 29 to 507 of the family's 1533-position model. The record is from RNAcentral.
AACGAACGCUGGCGGCAGGCCUAACACAUGCAAGUCGAGCGCGCCCUUCGGGGUGAGCGGCGGACGGGUGAGUAACGCGUGGGAACGUGCCCUUCUCUGCGGAAUAGCCUCGGGAAACUGAGAGUAAUACCGCAUACGCCCUUUGGGGGAAAGAUUUAUCGGAGAAGGAUCGGCCCGCGUUGGAUUAGGUAGUUGGUGGGGUAAUGGCACACCAAGCCGACGAUCCAUAGCUGGUUUGAGAGGAUGAUCAGCCACACUGGGACUGAGACACGGCCCAGACUCCUACGGGAGGCAGCAGUGGGGAAUCUUAGACAAUGGGGGCAACCCUGAUCUAGCCAUGCCGCGUGAGUGAUGAAGGCCUUAGGGUUGUAAAGCUCUUUCAGCUGGGAAGAUAAUGACGGUACCAGCAGAAGAAGCCCCGGCUAACUCCGUG